This is a long non-coding RNA of Xenopus laevis (African clawed frog), 2233 nucleotides long. RefSeq lists it as uncharacterized. NCBI's taxonomy places the organism in Eukaryota, Metazoa, Chordata, Amphibia, Anura, Pipidae. The transcript has 3 exons. The record is from RefSeq and is a predicted model, not a curated record.
AACUCAAUGUCUCCCAGUUGGUUGGAUGUUCUAAUUACUCCAAGUAUUUAAUAAUUGUUUACAUUUACUUCACAUUACAUUACACUUAUAUUAUAAUACUGUACUUUCUUCGGAAAAGCAAACAUAAAAAUUUUAUGUGACAACAUAGAAAAUAGUUUCAGUUCUGUUACAGGUGAAGAUUUAUGGACAAAUUAUAGGGACCAUGAAAUAGUUUCACAUAUUUUCACCUCUUAGAGAUCCAUCCUUAGGAUUUUAGCUAGGGGUUAACCAAAAUAAACAUGGCUUCACCUCUGUGAUAGUAGUAGGUCACUCCAUGUUCUAAAUAGUCCUUAUUUCUGACCCUUGGGGCCCACAGAAACUAAUUUUCUUCAAUGGUUUAUUAUAGAUGAGGGUCAGAUACCCCAGAAUCCUACAGGUUUUAUUUGUCCUCCUCCUGAACAUAUAAGGGUAUUUACUUCUACCUGUAAUCUAAAAAUAAGAGUGCUAUAUGUUGAAGGAACAUCCUGUGCAUUUAGAAUGGAGGCUUUUUGGUUUACCUUAUGGCAACUGGUAUUAUUUUUAUUUGUUACAAAAUGAUUUGCCAUUUCAUGAGCAUAUUUUGUAAAAAAGCUUCUUAGUUUGGCAAAGCAUAGAAUUUUAUGCUCCACCUGUAAUAGAAUUGAACUUGGUAUAUAUUGUAAUUGCAUUUUCAACAAUCCCAGAACGUAAUCUAAGAAAAUAUAGCUCACCCUCACUGCUAUUCCCUACUAGUUCCUGAUUGGCUCACUGGAGGGAACUCUACUUUACAGGAAACACUAAUGCCCCCUCUUCUUUACAUAUAAAUACUUCUUUUCUAUUUCACUUUCUUUACACAGUUACUGAUAUAUGAAUGACUAAAAGUAGUAUGUUUUCCUUGAUAGCUCUCUUAAAUAAUAUUUAGUUGGAUGAUCCUUCACAUUAUUAUAUCUUUUUUCUUGAACUGAAUUAUUAUUUGCAGGGGGAAAGGGGGAAGAAAGGCUCUAGGGGUCCUAAAGGGGAUAAGGGAGACCAAGGAGCGCCUGGAUUAGAUGCACCCUGCCCGUUGGGAGAAGACGGUUUACCAGUACAGGGCUGCUGGAACAAGUGAUCGUUUCUAACCUGGGAUUGUCCUGUGUGUUUGUACAUAGAAUAUUUAUUUUUAUACAGUGUCACAUAAAUGGAAAAAAAAUACCAAACUUUAUGCAUUUUUGUACAAAAACACCUAAAACUGUUUUUGUUUCAUUGGACCAAUUGUGUAUUUUUGUACUUGCUUUUAUAAUAUUUGUGAAAAAUAUGCUGCUGUAUUUGCAUGAUAUUUGUGCACAAUUAUUAAAUAACGCUUUUUAAGUUAUUGUACUUUGGUGCCAAACCUUCAUCAGAAAAAAUGACAGACAAAUUCCAGGGUAUAAUGUUAAAUAAAAUGAGUUCCCCAUCUCCACAGUUUAAUAAUUAUUAAAGGGACUUUUGUAACUAGUUCCUAGGUAAUCAAUAUAAUUAACAGUACUGCUCUGUAGCCAAAAAAAUGCUUUGCUACAGGUAUGGAAUCCAUUAUCAGGAAACCCAUUAUCCAGAAACCUCUGACAAAUUGAAGGACAAUCUCUUUCAUCUCCCUUUAGAGCCCAUAUCAAUUAAAUAAGUUUUUUUUAUGAUAUAGGAAACAGUAACAGUUGCACUGCCCACUCUUCCUCUCACCACUUAACAUAGUGGUGCUAACCAUAAACAUAGAAAUUUUAAGAAUGAUCCUGGGCUUCCUUCCCAGAAUCCUUUCUGCUUUGCAUAUGAAUGAGGACGUAUCUCCUAAACCAAAAUGCUUUUCUACAAUGGAACCAGACAGUCCUUAAUGCCAAAAUGAGCAUUUAAGUAUUUUGUCAACAAGGUCUGUCACUGUUUCAUGUGCAUUCAAGAUGGUGCUUGCCAUUCGACAGCAUAGGUCGCGGUGACAGACAGACAGAGAGGGGUUUUAUGUCUGCUGCUGUUCUCUACCUGAGGCAGUGACAGCCAAAAUGCCCUAGUUACAGUGUUCCAAACUACAGAAAACCUCUUAUCCGGAACUUUUUCAUCCCAAGAAUUCCUGAUAACAGAUCCCUUGCCUCAAGUAGUUGUGAAUGGCUCUUUAAGAUCUUGUUGAGAUAUAGGGCAGCAACUUAUCCUUUUCAGGUGGUCAGUAUAAAGUUCGUAAUGGCACCUUAAAGGGAUACUGUCAUCAUAAUUUUCAAAUAAAGAGUGUUUACUUAUA